UCACUUAGGUGGUACAUUUACUAAAAUUGGAGCAAUACAGAGAAGAUUAGCAUGAUCCCUGCUCAAGGAUCACACCCAAAAUCGUGGUACAGCCGAGAGUGAG
Molecule: non-coding RNA, 103 nt
Organism: Schistosoma haematobium
Lineage: Eukaryota; Metazoa; Platyhelminthes; Trematoda; Strigeidida; Schistosomatidae
Source: Rfam